This is a long non-coding RNA of Biomphalaria glabrata, 1224 nucleotides long. RefSeq lists it as uncharacterized. The transcript has 2 exons. The record is from RefSeq and is a predicted model, not a curated record. Lineage: Eukaryota; Metazoa; Mollusca; Gastropoda; Planorbidae.
UGCUACAUAAAAAUAGAAUGAAUGGAUUUAGAGGGAAACAUGUUUUUUCCCGUUUCUAGUUUCCCAUAGAUAAAAUCAUAUGCUAAAAUGUUUUAAGAGUUCUAAAAAAAAUAUUUUCUUUUUAUAUGUAUUAUCAUCCCUUAAUAUAGGCCUAUAUAGUGUUAUUUAACUUCUCUAGAUACUAACAACGCAAUUUCGAAGGAAAAAGAAUAUAUAUAUUUCAUAUUUCUAGUUCUCAAAGUUAAAGAAAAUGUUUAAGUGGAAUACUGUAUUUUUAUUGACAAUGAGCUUCCCUGUCAAUUAUGCUCAAGAAAAAUUUGUCUGUCAGAAAGGGACGUACCUCCAGAGAGACCAACAGAAAUCAACCUCGAAUUGCGCUCCUUGUAGUCAAGGGACAUUCAUGUCUCACGACAACCACAAGUUCAUCUCCUGCCAGCCAUGCACGCAGCCCGAAAGUUUCAACCACGAAGUUAUGCUAAAAGACUGUACCUCAACUCACGACACGGUUAUAGGGUGCCGCGAAGACUACUACCGUGUGGAGCAGAGGUUCGAAGACUUUAUCGAAGGAGAGUGUCAGAGAUGCACGAACUGCACUGUCCAUGGUCUGUACGUAGCGCAAGCCUGUGACGACCAGACGGACACUGUUUGCUGUCCAAAACCUGGGAUGACCAUUCUGAAAGACCAGUAUGGAAAAUACCAGUGCAAAUAAAUAAUUUAUUAUAAAGCGGAUAAUUGUCCACUAUCGCCCUAUUUUUACAUCUUAUUUUAAAUCAAAAAGUUAAAAAAAAACUCUCUGAAUCUGAGUGGAGCUGAUUUAGACUUUUAGAACUCAGCACAAUAAUAUUGGCACUCCCCAUAAAGGACCAGAAAAAGAUACAGAAAAAGAUACUAGACCAGAGCGCCAGAAGCUAAGAGGACAUAUUGUACAAAGAUAUAUAAGAAUAAUUAACAAAGAAUGCUAUAAAAAUGCAUAUCCUUAUACACCGUGUAAAUGUUUGGAAAACAAAAUAUGUAUACUGAGUUUCAGAAAUACCUCAUACCUAUACUAAGCAUGGAAUUUAUUAAUACUCAAUUAUGUAAAAUAUUAAUAAUAAUAAUUUCAUUUUUAUUUAUUUACUUCUUCUUAAUUUACAAUGACAGAUGUUGUAUAGUUUUACUUUGAUUGCAAAUUCUAUUUGUUUGAUAUGAUGUAUGUGUAAAAAUAAAUGAUAACUGGUUAUCUUC